AUUGAACGCUGGCGGUAUGCUUAACACAUGCAAGUCGAACGGCAGCAUGGUCUAGCUUGCUAGACUGAUGGCGAGUGGCGGACGGGUGAGUAACGCGUAGGAAUAUGCCUUGAAGAGUGGGACAACUUGGGGAAACUCAAGCUAAUACCGCAUGUACUCGAGAGAGUAAAGCUGGGGACCUUUAGGCCUGGCGCUUUAAGAUUAGCCUGCGUCCGAUUAGCUAGUUGGUAGGGUAAAGGCCUACCAAGGCGACGAUCGGUAGCUGGUCUGAGAGGAUGAUCAGCCACACUGGAACUGAGAGUCGGUCCAGACUCCUACGGGAGUCAGCAGUGGGGAAUAUUGGACAAUGGGGGGAACCCUGAUCCAGCGAUGCCGCGUGUGUGAAGAAGGCCUGAGGGUUGUAAAGCACUUUCAGUGGGGAGGAGGUUUGGAAGGUUAAGAGCUAUUCAAAUGGACGUUACCCACAGAAGAAGCACCGGCUAACUCCGUGCCAGCCGCCGCCGUAA
This 506-nucleotide ribosomal RNA is filed under the name uncultured bacterium. RNAcentral describes it as "partial 16S ribosomal RNA". It matches the Rfam family "Bacterial small subunit ribosomal RNA", at positions 30 to 523 of the family's 1533-position model. The record is from RNAcentral.